AGAACGAACGCUGGCGGCAUGCCUAACACAUGCAAGUCGAACGUGAUCCAGGCUUCGGCCUGGUGAAAGUGGCAGACGGGUGAGUAACGCGUGGGAACCUGCCCUGUGGUAGGGAAUAACCGUGGGAAACUGCGGCUAAUACCCUAUGAGUCCUUCGGGAGAAAGAUUUAUCGCCAUAGGAGGGGCCCGCGUCGGAUUAGGUAGUUGGUGGGGUAACGGCCUACCAAGCCUUCGAUCCGUAGCUGGUCUGAGAGGAUGAUCAGCCACACUGGGACUGAGAUACGGCCCAGACUCCUACGGGAGGCAGCAGUGGGGAAUAUUGGACAAUGGGGGGCAACCCUGAUCCAGCAAUGCCGCGUGGAUGAUGAAGGCCUUCGGGUUGUAAAGUCCUUUCGGCGGGGAAGAUGAUGACGGUACCCGCAGAAGAAGCCCCGGCUAACUUCGUGCCAGCAGCCGC
Molecule: ribosomal RNA, 457 nt
Filed under: uncultured bacterium
Lineage: Bacteria
Description: SSU rRNA
Rfam family: Bacterial small subunit ribosomal RNA
Source: RNAcentral